This is a non-coding RNA of Phthorimaea operculella (potato tuberworm), 74 nucleotides long. The record is from the annotation of a GenBank genome assembly. NCBI's taxonomy places the organism in Eukaryota, Metazoa, Arthropoda, Insecta, Lepidoptera, Gelechiidae.
GCAUCGAUAGCUCAGUGGCAGAGCGGUGGGCCGCGUUUACCCAUGCGGCCCGGGUUCGAUUCCCGGUCGAUGUA